Molecule: ribosomal RNA, 449 nt
Filed under: uncultured bacterium
Lineage: Bacteria
Description: partial 16S ribosomal RNA
Rfam family: Bacterial small subunit ribosomal RNA
Source: RNAcentral
AACGAACGCUGGCGGCAUGCCUAACACAUGCAAGUCGAACGAGACCUUCGGGUCUAGUGGCGCACGGGUGCGUAACGCGUGGGAAUCUACCCUUGGGUUCGGAAUAACAGUUAGAAAUGACUGCUAAUACCGGAUGAUGACGUAAGUCCAAAGAUUUAUCGCCCAAGGAUGAGCCCGCGUAAGAUUAGCUUGUUGGUGGGGUAAUGGCCUACCAAGGCGACGAUCUUUAGCUGGUCUGAGAGGAUGAUCAGCCACACUGGGACUGAGACACGGCCCAGACUCCUACGGGAGGCAGCAGUGGGGAAUAUUGGACAAUGGGCGAAAGCCUGAUCCAGCAAUGCCGCGUGAGUGAUGAAGGCCUUAGGGUUGUAAAGCUCUUUUACCAGGGAUGAUAAUGACAGUACCUGGAGAAUAAGCUCCGGCUAACUCCGUGCCAGCCGCCGCAGUAA